This 808-nucleotide long non-coding RNA is filed under the name Androctonus crassicauda. Lineage: Eukaryota; Metazoa; Arthropoda; Arachnida; Scorpiones; Buthidae. The record is from RNAcentral.
AUUUUUUAAGAUUGAUAUUGAUGAUAAAUAUUUUUUUCACUUAUUAUUUUCUCUUAAUUAAAUGUUUGCAGCCUGAUUAUUAAAAAUAAAAAUUGAAUGUGGCCCAUAAAUCUGAAAAGGUUGCCAAUCCCUGGUCUAAAAAAAAUCUUGAUCUUAUAAGAAUGCAGGAGUUAAUCACUGCUUAAAAAGAUCAACAUACAUUUUAAUAAUAUAAAGGAUAAGCAGCAAAAAUUGGAAAGGCUGACUAAUGUCUUUAAGAUGCAUGAAUAUGAUAUGAAGUCAAUGCAAAUAUGAUGAGGUUUCUCAUUGUGCCUCAAAAAGAUCAUUCAUGAUACUGCAUUUUUGCUAUCUCGGAACCACUAAACCAUCAACAUAAUACCUCACAUCUUGGUUUGAGUAGAAUCAGGGUUCCUUUAGCCAGAUAUGGAACUCAAACAUGAGGUUCCUACCCUUGUUAUCCCUCUCUAUGACAAGGAUGCAAAGUUGGAAUUAAAGAAGGCCAAAAAGCUCAAGUAUCCCAAUAGUCUCUUCGACCCAAGGUUUACCAUUCUUUCAAUUGGCAUCAUUAAGGCUUCUAUCCUUCUGCUAUUCAUCCCUUCACCACUGUAUGCCACCUUGGGAUUUUUAGAAAGCUUCUAUCCCAUACAGAGCAUAUUGAAUUAUUGAUUAUGACAAUGUAUUAAAAAAUUGAAUGUCUAUGCAUCAUGUGAAAUUGAUGAUUCAAAAAACAUCUAAAUGAUAUAUAUUUAUUAAAGGUUGUAUUUUAUGAAUAAAAUAUGUUUAACUUCCAUUAUGUGCUGAUGAUAAC